Molecule: transfer RNA, 82 nt
Filed under: Gloeobacter kilaueensis JS1
Lineage: Bacteria; Bacillati; Cyanobacteriota; Cyanophyceae; Gloeobacterales; Gloeobacteraceae
Description: tRNA-Und (NNN) (tRNA-Und-NNN-1-1)
Source: RNAcentral
GUAAAUUCCUCCAGUUGUGCAUCAGAGCCGGUCUUGCAAACCGGAGAAGGGAAACUUUCCGUGGGUUCGAAUCCCACCCUCU